Molecule: non-coding RNA, 836 nt
Organism: Pogona vitticeps (central bearded dragon)
Lineage: Eukaryota; Metazoa; Chordata; Lepidosauria; Squamata; Agamidae
Source: RefSeq, a predicted model, not a curated record
AUUAUAAUUCUUAUUCUAUAUCUCAAAGGCUGAAAAGUUUAUUAGAUCGUGAAAAAGAGGAACUGGCAGAAGCAGAAGUAAUAAAAGAUUCACCUGAUUCUCCUGAACCACCUAACAAAAAGCCUCUCAUUACAAUGGAUGAAAUGCCAACCACUGAGAAAUCCAAAGGCCCAAUGUCUCUGCUGUCUUUAUGGAGCAACAGAAUUAACACUGCAAAUUCUAGGAAACAUCAAGAAUUCAUGGGACGCUUGAAUUCUGUGAACAAUAAAGCUGAACUGUACCAACAUCUUAAAGAGGAGAAUGGAAUGGAAACCACCGAAAAUGGAAAAGCCAGCCGACAGUGAAUACCCAGUCCAAAAACGAUGUUUAGUCAUGUUGCAUAAACCUCUUUAUGCUUAAUUUGAUACCUGUAUCAAAUUGUACAGUAUAGUUGCUUCAAUUGGUUUUUACUUUUUCUAAUUUCAGCCCUUUUCUAUGAAAAUACAAAAUCUGAAUAUUAAAUGCAUAAAUCAUCUACUCUAGUGUUGAAUAAAGUAAAACUUUAUUUACCACUAGUUCUAAUGUCUUUAUAAUGAAAAGUAGCUUUUUGCCUAUUGAAGAAAUGCAGAAUUUUGGAUGAGACUGGGGGAGUUGAUCUCUCCUACCUCUGCUCAACUGGAUUUUCUGUGGAGCACAAAUAAGACCCUAGGGUGGCAGUGGAGUUGCAGUGGUCUGUUCUGAUUCUGUCUGUCAUAUCAGGUGUGGCAUUCCUCAUUUUUUCUCAGUUUGAGUGUAUUUACCUGGAAGUUGGUGUCUAGGACAGAACAGAGAUUCUAUUGGUAUACUACCCAUCCUGC